This 30-nucleotide non-coding RNA is filed under the name Mus musculus (house mouse). Lineage: Eukaryota; Metazoa; Chordata; Mammalia; Rodentia; Muridae. The record is from RNAcentral.
UAGGCAGAGUUCUCUUACAUCUGAGGGAGA